Non-coding RNA from Poecilia reticulata (guppy), 2839 nucleotides. The record is from RefSeq and is a predicted model, not a curated record. Lineage: Eukaryota; Metazoa; Chordata; Actinopteri; Cyprinodontiformes; Poeciliidae.
GCGAUCACCUCGCCCUGCGAGUGCGCAUCCUGUGGAGAGAUGCAGGGUAUCCCACAGUAAAAUUAAACAACUUUUCAAGCAUUUCCAAGUUUUAUGACGUCAAAGGAGAAGGAAAUGGUCAGUGGCAAUUCUUCCAUAAAUCAGCACAAAAAAGAAAAAAAAGUCAGGAUUAAGAUUGUUGUUUUGCUGUCUAGCUUCGUGAAAACUAGCUAAACAGUUAGUAAAAGUUAAAUUAUUUCUGAUUUUGUUUUUUUUAAUCACGUCAUCACAGUGAACAUGGCUCUGAGACAGCCGCUCAGGACCUUAUUUAGUAAGAACAUUUCUUAUUUUAGCCUCUUUAAGGGAGAAAAUCUGACCUAACACUGCAAGGCAACCAGACUCACUGCACAGUUUCUCUAAUCAACUUUCUUAAUUAUUCAGUAGCUAAUUAAACCUUGGGUGGUUUUAGAAAAAACCCCGAAAAACAAUUGAGGAGCUGCUGCAUUCAAUGACCGCAAGAAAUUCCAACUUUCCAGACCAGAUAAAGAAAACAGAACCAGAACUCUAUCAAGGUCAGCCAACAUUGAUUUCUUUCUUAAUUAUCUCCCAAAUAUGAAGCCAUUUCUAAGUUAAAAAUGUUUCAUAAAAGGAAUAAAAAAUGUAUAAAUCAACAGCCAGGUGCCAAAACGGUGAGACAUGAUGGAAUCGGAGUAAAGCGUUGAUCCGACAGAAACCUGACUGGAGCAGCAGAACCUCCUCUAACGCCGUCAGUCAGGAGUCCCAGUAGAUCGUGGAGCAGCGACUCAAACUCUGCUGCUGAUUCUGGUUUUCCUCUCUCUGAUUUACAGGAGCCAUUAGCCUCUCCAGGAGGCCGCAGCGGGUUUAAAGGCAGAGCAAUUAUCUCAGGAUCGCUAAUGGCUGCAGAGUGACGCCAAAUUGUGGAAAGUCCAGUUUCGGUUCAGGAGCUUCAGGUCGCAGACCCCUGAUCUAGACAGUCAACUCAAUAAAUAAAUCCAACGGAAGCAACAAGAAAACAUGCAUUUAUACAUAGAGAUACUGGAACAAUAAUGUUUCCACAUGAAAGAAUGAGAAAAGCUGAGCUGUCAAAGCUUUUCUCAGUUGGAACAAACGGUCCCUGCAAAUCCUUUGACCUCUAACGGAGAAGGAAGCGGCGGCCAUGUUUGAUGAGCAUCGGCUUACAGUGAUGAGAGUGAAGAUCAAAACAACAGAGGCCAUCCAAUGAUAGUCCAGUCAAAAGGCACGUGAGCAGAAAUAUGGAACGACUUUUUUUAUCAUGUAAGAAAAAAGCUGGCAGGAUGUUUGGUUUUGACUUCGACCUUUAAGUCACCUGACAGAUGAGUGACUGCUCAGUUACAAUCUAACUAAGUCAAUAAUUAUUUCAGAGGCAGAGACACUGAGAGCAACAGAGCUGAGCAGAGCAGGAUCCUAAAACUUCAUGUAUGGAAAACGCCAUGAAAAAAGAACCAAAAAUGAAGAAACUCUUCCACUUCUUGUAGAUUAUUAACUAUUAAAUGACUCUUUGGAAGUUAAUAUGCUGCUAAAGAUGGGUGUGUUAAACCACCAGCCUGUCUUUUAUGGCUCUGGAUCAUUUCCUCCUCCACCUAUACUCCUAUUGCCGUUCAGUGCCAGCAUACUGAAACCAUUGUGAGUCAGUGAAUUUCCCUUGAUAUCCAAGCAUUUUGGACAAAAUACUAAUAUAAAUAAGCAUACAAAUGCUAAAAUCCAACAAAUAUCCAUUUAUUAUGAAUUACUCUGGCUGCAGCAUGCAGAUGGUAGCGCUGUCGUCUUGUAGCAAAAAGAUCCUGGGUAUGUAGGUAAGCAGAUGAUGCUCAGCUCUACAUAAUAAUGUCACCAGGUGACUCUGAGCCCAUUCAGCCACUGAACAGAUGCUCAGAACAAAUCAAUGUGUGGAUGUGCCAUAACUUUCUCCAGCUGAACAGUAACGAAACUGAACCAUUAUUUUUGGACCCACAGAAAAAACUAUUAGGAGCCAUCGCUCAGCUUCAGUUUUUACAGCUAGAAACCAGCAACCAGGAUCUCUAAAUCUUGCAAAGGUAACUUUGAAGUUAUAGGAAAAGAAUCGCCAGUCAAUGCAUGCUUUGAAAAAGUAACCAGUGAGCUAUUUCAAAAAUAACCUCUAUAUUCCAGGAAAGUAACCAAUAAACUCAUACAUAAAUCAUCCUGCCAGUUCUACAAAUGUUACUUUUAGUGUCGGGAAAGAGUGAAAUAUUUCAGAUCAUCUAAAAAUUAUAUAAUUUGCUUCUCUAAGAUCAUACUGUCCAAUAAAAUACACAUAAGAAUCAGCCUAGUAGAUUUUAACUAAGGCUUUGGAUGCACAUUUUUUAUUUGUUUUUGUACUUCAUUAUAUUUCCUUGUGGUUUAUUAAACUAUUAAACAUUAAAUAAAACCAUAUAGAAAGUGCUAAAACACGGUAUCUUUUUUUUUUUAUUACUAAUUAGUGGCUUAUUGUUCAUAACCCAGAGGUCUUAUUGUAUUAUCAUUUAUUUCUUGGAGGUGGGGGUUAAUUGAUUUAAGACGCAGAGAGAGGUAAUGGAUCCGUCCUGAGAAGAAUGUUAUUCUUCAGUGAAUAAUUUGUUCUCUACGAGGCUGGGGAGUGUUUUCUUGAGGAAAACAGAGAUUUUUGGUCUUGUGCAUGUGUGUUUACGGUUUAGUCCGGGUCAGAACCCAGCAGCGGGUGGUGUGUGGACCCCUCUGCCUCGAUGUCACGUUGACAGCCGGCGUCUCUUUUAACCACCAACCGGGGGCGACACACCCAGCAGAUGCCCGUCAUGUUUAUCAUCACCUCCCGGUGUGAAUCCCCGCAGACUCGUCCACCAGC